Molecule: ribosomal RNA, 497 nt
Filed under: uncultured bacterium
Lineage: Bacteria
Description: partial 16S ribosomal RNA
Rfam family: Bacterial small subunit ribosomal RNA
Source: RNAcentral
GAUGAACGCUGGCGGCGUGCCUAAUACAUGCAAGUCGAGCGAACAGAUAAGGAGCUUGCUCCUUUGACGUUAGCGGCGGACGGGUGAGUAACACGUGGAUAACCUACCUAUAAGACUGGGAUAACUUCGGGAAACCGGAGCUAAUACCGGAUAACAUUUUGAACCGCAUGGUUCAAUAGUGAAAGACGGCUUUGCUGUCACUUAUAGAUGGAUCCGCGCUGUAUUAGCUAGUUGGUAAGGUAACGGCUUACCAAGGCAACGAUACGUAGCCGACCUGAGAGGGUGAUCGGCCACACUGGAACUGAGACACGGUCCAGACUCCUACGGGAGGCAGCAGUAGGGAAUCUUCCGCAAUGGGCGAAAGCCUGACGGAGCAACGCCGCGUGAGUGAUGAAGGUCUUCGGAUCGUAAAACUCUGUUAUCAGGGAAGAACAAAUGUGUAAGUAACUGUGCACAUCUUGACGGUACCUGAUCAGAAAGCCACGGCUAACUACGUG